CAAAAGCAAGCAAAAAUCCUUUGCUCAGGAGGGAGGGGAAGCAGCCAGGGCUGCAGCCAGGAUUUUUAGUGGUAGCAAUAGUUACCGGGGAUACCCAGCCAGCAAUGAGGAGGCGACGGUGAGAAGCAAAGCCUAGCUUUGCCGGGAGCAUUUGGAGCUGCUACUGCGGCAGCAGCAGUGAUGGGAAGGCCCUGUUGUCGGCAAUGCAAGUCAUCGAUCUACCGGGAGAUUCCCUAACACAGCAAGAGGACGGAACAGCAAGGGGUCCUGGCCACAAAGAAAAUCAGAAGUCAGCAGAAUGCAUUUUGAAAAAGCUUUGAAACAUAGGAUGAAGAGAAGAGAAAUAAUAUAAAAAGAGAACUCACAGCAUGUCCUACCGCUGUGAGUGCAAGAAGAACAAGGAAGAGCAGAAGGAGAAAGAGUUAAAAGAACAACAGCAGCAAAUGCAACAAGCAGUAAUGUCCUGAUUUGCUGGCAAGCAGAUGGUGCUUCGCAAAACAACUCACUGGCCCCCUCUACUGACGGAAAGCAGAGGUUAUAGCAUUGUACUAAAAAGCAUGGAUGUGCACACAGAAUGCUAUUUGCACUGUGUUCCGAGAACGCAAAUAUCUGGAACGUUCCACUGGAACAACCGGUCGAGCUCAAAACAUUCUGAACAUCGCUACUAAAUAAAUUUGU
Long non-coding RNA from Hemicordylus capensis (graceful crag lizard), 678 nucleotides. RefSeq lists it as uncharacterized. The transcript has 4 exons. Lineage: Eukaryota; Metazoa; Chordata; Lepidosauria; Squamata; Cordylidae. The record is from RefSeq and is a predicted model, not a curated record.